Molecule: non-coding RNA, 29 nt
Filed under: Rattus norvegicus (Norway rat)
Lineage: Eukaryota; Metazoa; Chordata; Mammalia; Rodentia; Muridae
Source: RNAcentral
GCCCCACCAGCUAGAUGUGUUAGUGGUUC